RNAcentral lists this ribosomal RNA (685 nucleotides) under Xylariales sp. A1014. RNAcentral describes it as "SSU rRNA". It matches the Rfam family "Eukaryotic small subunit ribosomal RNA", at positions 50 to 742 of the family's 1831-position model. Lineage: Eukaryota; Fungi; Ascomycota; Sordariomycetes; Xylariales. The record is from RNAcentral.
CAUGCAUGUCUAAGUAUAAGCAAUUAUACAGCGAAACUGCGAAUGGCUCAUUAAAUCAGUUAUCGUUUAUUUGAUAGUACCUUACUACUUGGAUAACCGUGGUAAUUCUAGAGCUAAUACAUGCUAAAAAUCCCGACUCGCGGAGGGAUGUAUUUAUUAGAUUAAAAACCAAUGCCCUUCGGGGCUCCUUGGUGAUUCAUAAUAACUUGUCGAAUCGCAUGGCCUUGCGCCGGCGAUGGUUCAUUCAAAUUUCUGCCCUAUCAACUUUCGAUGGCAGGGUAUUGGCCUGCCAUGGUUACAACGGGUAACGGAGGGUUAGGGCUCGACCCCGGAGAAGGAGCCUGAGAAACGGCUACUACAUCCAAGGAAGGCAGCAGGCGCGCAAAUUACCCAAUCCCGACACGGGGAGGUAGUGACAAUAAAUACUGAUACAGGGCUCUUUUGGGUCUUGUAAUUGGAAUGAGUACAAUUUAAAUCCCUUAACGAGGAACAAUUGGAGGGCAAGUCUGGUGCCAGCAGCCGCGGUAAUUCCAGCUCCAAUAGCGUAUAUUAAAGUUGUUGCAGUUAAAAAGCUCGUAGUUGAACCUUGGGCCUGGCCGGCCGGUCCGCCUCACCGCGUGCACUGGUUCGGCCGGGCCUUUCCCUCUGGGGAACCCCAUGCCCUUCACUGGGUGUGCGGGGGAAC